UGAAGAUUCGAAAUGUCAGUGCCACACU
RNAcentral lists this non-coding RNA (28 nucleotides) under Homo sapiens (human). Lineage: Eukaryota; Metazoa; Chordata; Mammalia; Primates; Hominidae. The record is from RNAcentral.